Molecule: non-coding RNA, 203 nt
Organism: Paramuricea clavata
Lineage: Eukaryota; Metazoa; Cnidaria; Anthozoa; Malacalcyonacea; Plexauridae
Source: the annotation of a GenBank genome assembly
UAUAUAUGGAAAAACAAGCAUCUAUCACGAGAUUAUGGCGUGAGUAUGUAAUGCGUAGCGACACUCGUACUCGUAGUCAAAUCCAAAGCUCUCUAUUGUGCUGUGAUGAAUGUAGAGAUAUUUCAACAUUGUAUCACAUGCAUGCAUAGCCGUCAUUCAUCAAUUAUAAUGCCAUGCCCAGUAUACACUAAAUAUGCAAAUGA